RNAcentral lists this transfer RNA (72 nucleotides) under Camelus ferus (Wild Bactrian camel). It matches the Rfam family "tRNA". From Rfam's summary of the family: Transfer RNA (tRNA) molecules are approximately 80 nucleotides in length. The record is from Rfam by way of RNAcentral. Lineage: Eukaryota; Metazoa; Chordata; Mammalia; Artiodactyla; Camelidae.
GAGGGCAUAGCUCAGUGGUAGAGCCCCUGCCCAGCAUGCACAAGGUCCUGGGUUCAAUCCCCAGCACCUCCA